Molecule: small nucleolar RNA, 138 nt
Organism: Ziziphus jujuba (common jujube)
Lineage: Eukaryota; Viridiplantae; Streptophyta; Magnoliopsida; Rosales; Rhamnaceae
Product: small nucleolar RNA Z247
Exons: 1
Source: RefSeq, a predicted model, not a curated record
CCAAUCAACAAUGAUGAAUUAGUCUUUCAUAUUCUCAAUUGACUUGGGUUCGACUAUGAUCAAAUCAUGACAGUGAUUGGUGCACGUGAUACACAUAUCUCCUUUAUUGAAUUACAUGAUAAACUACUGAAUUUGACA